AGAGAUAGUCAUAGAUCGUGACUAGGGUGAAAUAAAGAAAGAUCAAUGAGA
Molecule: non-coding RNA, 51 nt
Filed under: unclassified sequences
Description: 6A RNA
Rfam family: 6A RNA
About the family: Actinobacteria (1 example), Firmicutes, Fusobacteria. Terminator (Clostridia)
Source: Rfam by way of RNAcentral